ACACACACACACACACACAGAUAUUAAUAAAGUAAUGAUAUGUAUAAUCGUCCUUCAAAUUGUUUAUUUGGAGGUACGUAGCAUAGUAGUACAAAGCUUUAAGAAUAUAAGCAAGUUUUUACCGUUAUUUCGGUGGGAGAGGUUAAGGGGGUAGGAUUGAUGUUUCGAAGGGAAAGAGGAGAAGAUUGGAGGGGAACACGGCAGGUGUUCAUACACAAAGAAACUGAAAGGAAUCCCACGGCCAUCGACUUGAGUUGUGAGAAUCUUUCGUUUACGUGUUAGAUCUGCUAAAAUCAAUCAGGGCAUGAUCGAUUUGAAAAAUGAUUAUAGAUCGAAUUUAAAGCCCGGUAUCCUUGGAUGAGUGUGGAUCUAGUCACGAAUAAAAUCAAAAAACGUGGACUGAAUUCAAACCCAUCCAGGGCCGCCGGAUAAUCGAUUUUCUUCGGCAAGUUGUUGCUUUAAAGCAAAAAAAUAAAUUUUUCGUAGAUAUUAUCUUGAGAAGAAUCAGACACCACUAACUCCGUCAGCAGUCACAACGUAGAAUGAUGCGUUUGUAAACGCUGUUAUAGUGGAAAUUAUAGGUAGGGGAAUCGAGAGAAGGGGACUUGGAGGUUUGCCCUCCCUACUUCUUCGACCAGUAAAACCCUUAGAAGUGGGAGAAAGGCCCCUACAGAAUCACACAAAGAAAGAUUUACACGGAACAUCUCGCUUGGAAUUAAAUGAUAUUGCUGACAUUGUGAAACCAUUAUAGAAUGUAUUUUUUUCAGUCUGAAAUUACUACGUUGUUCUCUAGAUUUCUAGAGUCUUAUUUAUUUAAAUAUAUACAAAUAUUUAUAUUAAAAUUUUCCUAAUAAUUUUAACACAUGGAUCGCAUCAAAAUCAAAAUCUUAAUACUUUAAAUAAGGCAAUAUUGAAUAUAUUUGUUGGAGUGUAUCAAGCAUGUAUAUAAACACGUUUAUCAUUGUUUAUGUCCUCUCUCUUUCUACGUAAGAUAAAUAAUGACUAGGAUUAUCACUAUGCAUGUAAAAAGCAUACCACCGACUAAAAUAAAUCCAUCUUGACGAGCUCUAUGUUCUAUAAGCCUCAUAGUUGUAUUUGAAAGACCUAAAGUGUUACCAAUAUCUAUCAAACGUUUGUGAGCUCCCUUUAAAGUAAUUCUUUGCGAUCUUAGACUAUCUAAGAUCCCUGUUCCAUGCGAAAUAAGAUCGUCUACACCAUUUACUGCAUUUCGUAAACUAUAAUUAUGUUGUGUAUUUUGAUCUAUCAUAAUAUCAAUGUGAUCAUUCGCAGUAAAUGUUUGCGACAAUAA
This is a long non-coding RNA of Vespula pensylvanica (western yellowjacket), 1309 nucleotides long. RefSeq lists it as uncharacterized. The record is from RefSeq and is a predicted model, not a curated record. NCBI's taxonomy places the organism in Eukaryota, Metazoa, Arthropoda, Insecta, Hymenoptera, Vespidae. The transcript has 2 exons.